GUGUUUACUUCAGCAGCACAUAUACUAAUAUUGGAACGAUACAGAAAAGACUGACACGGCCCCUGAGCAAGGAUGACGUGCAAAUUCAUGAAGCAUUCCAUAUUUUU
Molecule: small nuclear RNA, 107 nt
Organism: Microtus oregoni (creeping vole)
Lineage: Eukaryota; Metazoa; Chordata; Mammalia; Rodentia; Cricetidae
Source: RefSeq, a predicted model, not a curated record